CAUUUUUUUCUUCCAUAGGGAGAUUUUUACGACCCGAACGCCUUCAUCACUCACGCGGCGUUGCUGCAUCAUGCUUGCGCCCAUUGUGCUUAUUCCCCGCUGCUGCCUCCCGUAC
RNAcentral lists this ribosomal RNA (115 nucleotides) under uncultured bacterium. RNAcentral's name for it is "partial 16S ribosomal RNA". The record is from RNAcentral.